CAAAUACAGAAUAAUUUGAUGUUACAAUAAUAGUAUCCGCAUCAUUCAGAGCUCCACAAACAUAUUCUCCAGCCUGUGAUGCUUGCAAUGAACUGAAGUUAAGAGCUCUAAAGUAUCUAAAACUAUGUCUCCAUCAGUUGUAGAAUUGAAGAGAAUGAGAUCAGGACCUGCCCAGUACACUUCCACCAUAGUAUCAUUCACUUUAGGAGCUAAUGUCAAUGUACAGGUUAAUGAAAA
Molecule: long non-coding RNA, 237 nt
Organism: Amphimedon queenslandica
Lineage: Eukaryota; Metazoa; Porifera; Demospongiae; Haplosclerida; Niphatidae
Exons: 2
Source: RefSeq, a predicted model, not a curated record